RNAcentral lists this long non-coding RNA (1960 nucleotides) under Rattus norvegicus (Norway rat). RNAcentral describes it as "long non-coding RNA NONRATT002036". Lineage: Eukaryota; Metazoa; Chordata; Mammalia; Rodentia; Muridae. The record is from RNAcentral.
GGCCAUCCUCUGCUACAUAUGCAGCUGGAGCCAGGGGUCUGUCCAUGUGUAGUCUUUGGAUGGUGGUUUAGUCCCUGGGGGUUCUGGUGGUUGGUAUUGUUGCUCUUAUGGGGUUGCAAGCCCUUUCAGCUCCUUCAGUCCUUUCUCUAAUUCCUCCACUGGGGACGCUGUUCUACUUCAGUGGUUGGCUGCGAGCAUUCGCCUCUCUAUUUGUCGUGUUCUGGUAGAGCCUCUUAGGAGACAGCUACAUCUGAUAGAGGGCUUAUAUCCAAAAUAUACAAAUAACUCAAGAAGUUAGACUCCAGAGAGCCAAAUAACCCUAUUAAGAAAAUGGGCUACAGAGCUGAACAAAGAAUUCUCAACUGAGGAAUAUCGAAUGACUGAGAAGCACCUAAAGAAAUGCUCAACAUCCUUAGUCAUCAGGGAAAUGCCAAUCAAAACAACCCUGCCAUUCCACCUUAUUCCAGUCAGAGUGGCUAAGAUAAAAAACUCAAGUGACAGCAGAUACUGGUGAGGAUGUGGAGAAAGAGGAACACUCCAUUGUUGGUGGGAUUGCAAGCUGGUACAACUACUCUGGAAAUCAGUCUGGAGGUUCCUCAGAAAUUUGGAUAUAGUACUACCUGAGGACCCAAUUCUGCCUCUCCUGGGCAUAUACCCAAAAGAUGCUCCAACAUAUAACAAGGACACAUGCUCCACUAUGUUCAUAGCAGCUUUAUUUAUAAUAGCUAGAAGCUGGAAAGAACCCAGAUGUCCCUCAACAGAGGAAUGGAUACAGAAAAUGUACAUCUACACAAUGGAAUAUUACUCAGCGAUCAAAACCAAUGACUUCAUGAAAUUCAUAGGCAAAUGGAUGGAACUAGAAAAUAUCAUCCUGAGUGAGGUAACCCAAUCACAAAAAACCCACACAUGGUAUGCACUCAUUGAUAAAUGGGUAUAACCACAAAGCUCUGAUUACCUGAUACAAUCCACAAACUACAUGAAGCUCAAGAAGAAGGACGACCAAAGUGCAGAUGCCUCAGUCCUUAGAAGGGGGAACAAAAAAUAUUUAUUGGAGGAGAUACGGAAACAAAGUUUGGAGCAGAGACUGAAGGAAAGGCCGUCCAGUGACUGCCCCACCUGGGGAUCCAUCCCAUAUACAUACACCAAACCCAGACAAGCCAGGAAGUGCAUGCUGACAGGAGCCUGGCUUGUGCUUCAUAUUCCACAUUAAGUUCUUAGAACCAUCUUGACGGAGUUGACAGCAGAUUCUGUGAGCCAGGUGACCCCAGCUUCAGAUAAAGCUCUUGUCAGUGGGUGUUUACCAUGCCUUUCUGCUGCAUUACCAGUAUUUUGAGAAGUUGGUUUUUUAGUAUAUCUAAGAGACAGUUUUUUAGAUUGUGUUUCCUAAUUCAUUAGAUCCUGGAGGAAGCAGCAUAGGCUCUAGUUUCUGUUACUCCACUGAUCUGCCCAUAUGAUCUUACACAGACCACUUCAUGGCGUUCUCUGAGGUGUAUCUUUUAAAAUGACACAUUUUCCGUGGGAAUCACAUCAACUGUUUGUGUCUCUGGCAUGGCCACCUUCCAUUCUAAGUCUGCUUUCUGUCCUUUUAAAUUGAAAAUGUCAGUGGCAUAUUUUUAUUGAUGUUCAGGGUCAAGUGGGAGCACCUGGUAUGGGGACAGACCAUGAGGGCAGAGAUAGCAUGGGAAGGUGUGGGUGUUUUCCUGUGGGAGGAGGUGUCACGGAGGUCCUGAAAUGGGGAGGUACCUGAGCAGGUGGGUCACAUGCAGAACUACGAAUGGAGUCAAGUGCCUAGGUUGGCACACGGGUGGUUAUGGAGCUAAGGUUUUUACUUCUGUUACGAAAGAACUAUUUUCAUACUCUAAGUUUUAAAAUUUAGAUUAUUAAACUGUGCGUAAGUUAAGCCACACUCCUAUUUUAUUAGCAUUUAAUUAAAGUAGUACUUUGGUAAAGCAAAUACUGG